UGAAAAGGGUUCACAUGGCUUAAGCGC
Molecule: non-coding RNA, 27 nt
Filed under: Rattus norvegicus (Norway rat)
Lineage: Eukaryota; Metazoa; Chordata; Mammalia; Rodentia; Muridae
Source: RNAcentral